This 1958-nucleotide ribosomal RNA is filed under the name Pseudomonas aeruginosa. RNAcentral's name for it is "partial 23S ribosomal RNA". It matches the Rfam family "Bacterial large subunit ribosomal RNA", at positions 1 to 1997 of the family's 2925-position model. The record is from RNAcentral. Lineage: Bacteria; Pseudomonadati; Pseudomonadota; Gammaproteobacteria; Pseudomonadales; Pseudomonadaceae.
GGUCAAGUGAAGAAGCGCAUACGGUGGAUGCCUUGGCAGUCAGAGGCGAUGAAAGACGUGGUAGCCUGCGAAAAGCUUCGGGGAGUCGGCAAACAGACUUUGAUCCGGAGAUCUCUGAAUGGGGGAACCCACCUAGGAUAACCUAGGUAUCUUGUACUGAAUCCAUAGGUGCAAGAGGCGAACCAGGGGAACUGAAACAUCUAAGUACCCUGAGGAAAAGAAAUCAACCGAGAUUCCCUUAGUAGUGGCGAGCGAACGGGGAUUAGCCCUUAAGCUUCAUUGAUUUUAGCGGAACGCUCUGGAAAGUGCGGCCAUAGUGGGUGAUAGCCCCGUACGCGAAAGGAUCUUUGAAGUGAAAUCGAGUAGGACGGAGCACGAGAAACUUUGUCUGAACAUGGGGGGACCAUCCUCCAAGGCUAAAUACUACUGACUGACCGAUAGUGAACCAGUACCGUGAGGGAAAGGCGAAAAGAACCCCGGAGAGGGGAGUGAAAUAGAACCUGAAACCGUAUGCGUACAAGCAGUGGGAGCCUACUUGUUAGGUGACUGCGUACCUUUUGUAUAAUGGGUCAGCGACUUAUAUUCAGUGGCAAGCUUAACCGUAUAGGGUAGGCGUAGCGAAAGCGAGUCUUAAUAGGGCGUUUAGUCGCUGGGUAUAGACCCGAAACCGGGCGAUCUAUCCAUGAGCAGGUUGAAGGUUAGGUAACACUGACUGGAGGACCGAACCCACUCCCGUUGAAAAGGUAGGGGAUGACUUGUGGAUCGGAGUGAAAGGCUAAUCAAGCUCGGAGAUAGCUGGUUCUCCUCGAAAGCUAUUUAGGUAGCGCCUCAUGUAUCACUCUGGGGGGUAGAGCACUGUUUCGGCUAGGGGGUCAUCCCGACUUACCAAACCGAUGCAAACUCCGAAUACCCAGAAGUGCCGAGCAUGGGAGACACACGGCGGGUGCUAACGUCCGUCGUGAAAAGGGAAACAACCCAGACCGCCAGCUAAGGUCCCAAAGUUGUGGUUAAGUGGUAAACGAUGUGGGAAGGCUUAGACAGCUAGGAGGUUGGCUUAGAAGCAGCCACCCUUUAAAGAAAGCGUAAUAGCUCACUAGUCGAGUCGGCCUGCGCGGAAGAUGUAACGGGGCUCAAACCACACACCGAAGCUGCGGGUGUCACGUAAGUGACGCGGUAGAGGAGCGUUCUGUAAGCCUGUGAAGGUGAGUUGAGAAGCUUGCUGGAGGUAUCAGAAGUGCGAAUGCUGACAUGAGUAACGACAAUGGGUGUGAAAAACACCCACGCCGAAAGACCAAGGGUUCCUGCGCAACGUUAAUCGACGCAGGGUUAGUCGGUUCCUAAGGCGAGGCUGAAAAGCGUAGUCGAUGGGAAACAGGUUAAUAUUCCUGUACUUCUGGUUACUGCGAUGGAGGGACGGAGAAGGCUAGGCCAGCUUGGCGUUGGUUGUCCAAGUUUAAGGUGGUAGGCUGAAAUCUUAGGUAAAUCCGGGGUUUCAAGGCCGAGAGCUGAUGACGAGUCGUCUUUUAGAUGACGAAGUGGUUGAUGCCAUGCUUCCAAGAAAAGCUUCUAAGCUUCAGGUAACCAGGAACCGUACCCCAAACCGACACAGGUGGUCGGGUAGAGAAUACCAAGGCGCUUGAGAGAACUCGGGUGAAGGAACUAGGCAAAAUGGCACCGUAACUUCGGGAGAAGGUGCGCCGGCUAGGGUGAAGGAUUUACUCCGUAAGCUCUGGCUGGUCGAAGAUACCAGGCCGCUGCGACUGUUUAUUAAAAACACAGCACUCUGCAAACACGAAAGUGGACGUAUAGGGUGUGACGCCUGCCCGGUGCCGGAAGGUUAAUUGAUGGGGUUAGCGCAAGCGAAGCUCUUGAUCGAAGCCCCGGUAAACGGCGGCCGUAACUAUAACGGUCCUAAGGUAGCGAAAUUCCUUGUCGGGUAAGUUCCGACCUGCACGAAU